GACAGAGGGAGCAAACGUUGUUCGGAUUUACUGGGCGUAAAGCGCGUGUAGGCGGCUUUGCAAGUCGGAUGUGAAAGCCCACGGCUCAACCGUGGAAGUGCAUCCGAAACUGGAUGGCUGGAGUCUCGGAGAGGAAGGUGGAAUGCUUGGUGUAGAGGUGAAAUUCGUAGAUAUCAAGCAGAACACCUGCGGCGAAGGCGGCCUUCUGGACGAUGACUGACGCUGAGACGCGAAAGCGUGGGGAGCGAACAGG
RNAcentral lists this ribosomal RNA (253 nucleotides) under uncultured bacterium. Its description in RNAcentral is "partial 16S ribosomal RNA". It matches the Rfam family "Bacterial small subunit ribosomal RNA", at positions 524 to 776 of the family's 1533-position model. The record is from RNAcentral.